Molecule: ribosomal RNA, 1391 nt
Filed under: uncultured bacterium
Lineage: Bacteria
Description: bacterial SSU rRNA
Rfam family: Bacterial small subunit ribosomal RNA
Source: RNAcentral
AGAGUUUGAUCCUGGCUCAGGACGAACGCUGGCGGCGUGCCUAACACAUGCAAGUCGAGCGGAGACAGUGAGUAGCUUGCUAUGAACUGUUUUAGCGGCGGACGGGUGAGUAACGCGUGAGCAACCUUUCCCAGACAGGGGAAUAACACACCGAAAGGUGUACUAAUACCGCAUAAGACCACGGGAUCACAUGGUUCUGAGGUAAAAGAUUUAUCGGUUUGGGGUGGGCUCGCGUCCGAUUAGGUAGUUGGUGAGGUAACGGCCCACCAAGCCGACGAUCGGUAGCCGACCUGAGAGGGUGAUCGGCCACAUUGGGACUGAGACACGGCCCAAACUCCUACGGGAGGCAGCAGUGGGGAAUAUUGGGCAAUGGAGGAAACUCUGACCCAGCAACGCCGCGUGGAGGAAGAAGGUUUUCGGAUCGUAAACUCCUGUCCUUGGAGACGAGUAGAAGACGGUAUCCAAGGAGGAAGCCCCGGCUAACUACGUGCCAGCAGCCGCGGUAAUACGUAGGGGGCAAGCGUUGUCCAGAAUAAUUGGGCGUAAAGGGCGUGUAGGCGGCUCGGUAAGUCUGGAGUGAAAGUCCUGCUUUUAAGGUGGGAAUUGCUUUGGAUACUGUCGGGCUUGAGUGCAGGAGAGGUUAGUGGAAUUCCCAGUGUAGCGGUGAAAUGCGUAGAGAUUGGGAGGAACACCAGUGGCGAAGGCGACUAACUGGACUGUAACUGACGCUGAGGCGCGAAAGUGUGGGGAGCAAACAGGAUUAGAUACCCUGGUAGUCCACACUGUAAACGAUGAAUGCUAGGGGUGGGGGGAGUCGACCCCCUUUGGAGCGGCAGUCGAACACAAUUGGCAAUUCCACUGGGGGAGGUACGGCAACAGAGGUGGGAAAGUAAAAGGAAUGUAACGGGGGCCCGCACAAGCAGCGGAGCAUGGGGUUUAAUUUUGACGCAAGCCGAAGUACCUUACCAAGUCUUGACUUCCAGUUAAACUUACAGAGAUGUAAGGUGUGCUCGCACAAAGUGAGACAGGUGGUGCAUGGUUGUCGUCAGCUCGUGUCGUGAGAAGUUGGGUUAAGUCCCGCAACGAGCGCAACCCUUAUCUUCAGUUACUAACGCGUAGAAGGUGAGGACUCUGAAGAGACUGCCGGGGACAACUCGGAGGAAGGUGGGGACGACGUCAAAUCAUCAUGCCCCUUAUGACCUGGGCUACACACGUGCUACAAUGGCCACGACAGAGAGAAGCGAAAUCGCAAGGUAGAGCGGAACUCAAAAAAGUGGUCCCAGUUCGGAUUGUGGGCUGCAACCCGCCCACAUGAAGUCGGAGUUGCUAGUAAUCGCGGAUCAGCAUGCCGCGGUGAAUACGUUCCCGGGCCUUGCACACACCGCCCGUCA